Molecule: ribosomal RNA, 1512 nt
Filed under: Escherichia coli
Lineage: Bacteria; Pseudomonadati; Pseudomonadota; Gammaproteobacteria; Enterobacterales; Enterobacteriaceae
Description: bacterial SSU rRNA
Rfam family: Bacterial small subunit ribosomal RNA
Source: RNAcentral
UUGAUGGAGAGUUUGAUUCUGGCUCAGAACGAACGCUGGCGGCGUGGAUAAGACAUGCAAGUCGAACGAGAGAAUUGCUAGCUUGCUAAUAAUUCUCUAGUGGCGCACGGGUGAGUAACACGUGAGUAACCUGCCCCCGAGAGCGGGAUAGCCCUGGGAAACUGGGAUUAAUACCGCAUAGUAUCGAAAGAUUAAAGCAGCAAUGCGCUUGGGGAUGGGCUCGCGGCCUAUUAGUUAGUUGGUGAGGUAACGGCUCACCAAGGCGAUGACGGGUAGCCGGUCUGAGAGGAUGUCCGGCCACACUGGAACUGAGACACGGUCCAGACACCUACGGGUGGCAGCAGUCGAGAAUCAUUCACAAUGGGGGAAACCCUGAUGGUGCGACGCCGCGUGGGGGAAUGAAGGUCUUCGGAUUGUAAACCCCUGUCAUGUGGGAGCAAAUUAAAAAGAUAGUACCACAAGAGGAAGAGACGGCUAACUCUGUGCCAGCAGCCGCGGUAAUACAGAGGUCUCAAGCGUUGUUCGGAAUCACUGGGCGUAAAGCGUGCGUAGGCUGUUUCGUAAGUCGUGUGUGAAAGGCGCGGGCUCAACCCGCGGACGGCACAUGAUACUGCGAGACUAGAGUAAUGGAGGGGGAACCGGAAUUCUCGGUGUAGCAGUGAAAUGCGUAGAUAUCGAGAGGAACACUCGUGGCGAAGGCGGGUUCCUGGACAUUAACUGACGCUGAGGCACGAAGGCCAGGGGAGCGAAAGGGAUUAGAUACCCCUGUAGUCCUGGCAGUAAACGGUGCACGCUUGGUGUGCGGGGAAUCGACCCCCUGCGUGCCGGAGUUAACGCGUUAAGCGUGCCGCCUGGGGAGUACGGUCGCAAGAUUAAAACUCAAAGAAAUUGACGGGGACCCGCACAAGCGGUGGAGUAUGUGGCUUAAUUCGAUGCAACGCGAAGAACCUUACCUGGGCUUGACAUGUAAUGAACAACAUGUGAAAGCAUGCGACUCUUCGGAGGCGUUACACAGGUGCUGCAUGGCCGUCGUCAGCUCGUGUCGUGAGAUGUUUGGUUAAGUCCAGCAACGAGCGCAACCCCUGUUGCCAGUUACCAGCACGUGAAGGUGGGGACUCUGGCGAGACUGCCCAGAUCAACUGGGAGGAAGGUGGGGACGACGUCAGGUCAGUAUGGCCCUUAUGCCCAGGGCUGCACACGUACUACAAUGCCCAGUACAGAGGGGGCCGAAGCCGCGAGGCGGAGGAAAUCCUAAAAACUGGGCCCAGUUCGGACUGUAGGCUGCAACCCGCCUACACGAAGCCGGAAUCGCUAGUAAUGGCGCAUCAGCUACGGCGCCGUGAAUACGUUCCCGGGUCUUGUACACACCGCCCGUCACAUCAUGGAAGCCGGUCGCACCCGAAGUAUCUGAAGCCAACCGCAAGGAGGCAGGGUCCUAAGGUGAGACUGGUAACUGGGAUGAAGUCGUAACAAGGUAGCCGUAGGGGAACCUGCGGCUGGAUCACCUCCUUU